This 193-nucleotide ribosomal RNA is filed under the name uncultured bacterium. Its description in RNAcentral is "partial 16S ribosomal RNA". It matches the Rfam family "Bacterial small subunit ribosomal RNA", at positions 338 to 524 of the family's 1533-position model. The record is from RNAcentral.
CCUACGGGAGGCAGCAGUAGGGAAUCUUCCGCAAUGGGCGAAAGCCUGACGGAGCAACGCCGCGUGAGUGAUGAAGGUCUUCGGAUCGUAAAACUCUGUUGGUAGGGAAGAACAAAUUUGUUAGUAACUGAAAAGUCUUGACGGUACCUAACCAGAAAGCCACGGCUAACUACGUGCCAGCAGCCGCGGUAAU